RNAcentral lists this ribosomal RNA (2922 nucleotides) under Enterococcus canintestini. RNAcentral describes it as "bacterial LSU rRNA". It matches the Rfam family "Bacterial large subunit ribosomal RNA". The record is from RNAcentral. Lineage: Bacteria; Bacillati; Bacillota; Bacilli; Lactobacillales; Enterococcaceae.
UUAUAAGGUUAAGUGAAUAAGGGCGCACGGUGGAUGCCUUGGCACUAGGAGCCGAUGAAGGACGGGACUAACACCGAUAUGCUUUGGGGAGCUGUAAGUAAGCUAUGAUCCAGAGAUUUCCGAAUGGGGGAACCCAGCAUCUUUUAUAGGAUGUUACGUAUACGUGAAUACAUAGCGUAUACGAGGUAGACGCAGAGAACUGAAACAUCUAAGUACCUGCAGGAAGAGAAAGAAAAAUCGAUUCCCCAAGUAGCGGCGAGCGAAAAGGGACCAGCCCAAACCAAGAUGCUUGCAUCUUGGGGUUGUAGGACUCCGAUAUGGUAGUUCUUUCAGAUAGUCGAAUGACUUGGAAAAGUCAGUCAAAGAGGGUAAAAACCCCGUAGACGAAAUUUGGAAGGCACCUAGGAGGAUCCUGAGUACGGCGGAACACGAGGAAUUCCGUCGGAAUCCGGGAGGACCAUCUCCCAAGGCUAAAUACUCCCUAGUGACCGAUAGUGAACCAGUACCGUGAGGGAAAGGUGAAAAGCACCCCGGAAGGGGAGUGAAAUAGAUCCUGAAACCGUGUGCCUACAACAAGUUAGAGCCCGUUAAUGGGUGAUAGCGUGCCUUUUGUAGAAUGAACCGGCGAGUUACGAUUGCAUGCGAGGUUAAGUUGAAGAGACGGAGCCGCAGCGAAAGCGAGUCUGAAUAGGGCGAAUGAGUAUGUAGUCGUAGACCCGAAACCAUGUGAUCUACCCAUGUCCAGGUUGAAGGUGCGGUAAAACGCACUGGAGGACCGAACCCACGUACGUUGAAAAGUGCGGGGAUGAGGUGUGGGUAGCGGAGAAAUUCCAAACGAACUUGGAGAUAGCUGGUUCUCUCCGAAAUAGCUUUAGGGCUAGCGUCGAAGUGAAGAAUGAUGGAGGUAGAGCACUGUUUGGACUAGGGGCCCAUCUCGGGUUACCGAAUUCAGAUAAACUCCGAAUGCCAUUCAUUUAUAUUCGGCAGUCAGACUGUGAGUGAUAAGAUCCAUAGUCGAAAGGGAAACAGCCCAGACCACCAGCUAAGGUCCCAAAAUGUAUGUUAAGUGGAAAAGGAUGUGGGGUUGCACAGACAACUAGGAUGUUGGCUCAGAAGCAGCCACCAUUUAAAGAGUGCGUAAUAGCUCACUAGUCGAGUGACCCUGCGCCGAAAAUGUACCGGGGCUAAACAUACUACCGAAGCUGUGGAGUACACCGUAAGGUGUAUUGGUAGGAGAGCGUUCUAAGGGCGUUGAAGGUAGAUCGUGAGGACUGCUGGAGCGCUUAGAAGUGAGAAUGCCGGUAUGAGUAGCGAAAGACAGGUGAGAAUCCUGUCCACCGAAUGACUAAGGUUUCCUGGGGAAGGCUCGUCCGCCCAGGGUUAGUCGGGACCUAAGCCGAGGCCGAUAGGCGUAGGCGAUGGACAACAGGUUGAUAUUCCUGUACCCGUUGUAUUUGUUUGAGCAAUGGAGGGACGCAGGAGGCUAAGAAGUGCAGACUGAUGGAUAUGUCUGUUCAAGCAGUAAGUCUUGAGAUGAGUCAAAUGCUUAUUUCUAUAAGGACAAGCUGUGAUGAGGAGGGAAAUAAUAGUACCGAAGCUUCUGAUGUCACACUGCCGAGAAAAGCUUCUAGUGAGAAGACAACGGCCCGUACCGCAAACCGACACAGGUAGUCGAGGAGAGAAUCCUAAGGUGAGCGAGAGAACUCUCGUUAAGGAACUCGGCAAAAUGACCCCGUAACUUCGGGAGAAGGGGUGCUGACCGCAAGGUCAGCCGCAGUGAAUAGGCCCAAGCGACUGUUUAUCAAAAACACAGGUCUCUGCAAAAUCGAAAGAUGAAGUAUAGGGGCUGACGCCUGCCCGGUGCUGGAAGGUUAAGAGGAGUGCUUAGCGUAAGCGAAGGUACGAAUUGAAGCCCCAGUAAACGGCGGCCGUAACUAUAACGGUCCUAAGGUAGCGAAAUUCCUUGUCGGGUAAGUUCCGACCCGCACGAAAGGCGUAACGAUUUGGGCACUGUCUCAACGAGAGACUCGGUGAAAUUUUAGUACCUGUGAAGAUGCAGGUUACCCGCGACAGGACGGAAAGACCCCAUGGAGCUUUACUGUAGUUUGAUAUUGAGUGUCUGUACCACAUGUACAGGAUAGGUAGGAGCCGUAGAGAUCGGGACGCUAGUUUCGAAGGAGGCAAUGGUGGGAUACUACCCUUGUGUUAUGGCCACUCUAACCCGCACCACUAAUCGUGGUGGGAGACAGUGUCAGAUGGGCAGUUUGACUGGGGCGGUCGCCUCCUAAAAGGUAACGGAGGCGCCCAAAGGUUCCCUCAGAAUGGUUGGAAAUCAUUCGCAGAGUGUAAAGGCAGAAGGGAGCUUGACUGCGAGACUUACAAGUCGAGCAGGGACGAAAGUCGGGCUUAGUGAUCCGGUGGUUCCGCAUGGAAGGGCCAUCGCUCAACGGAUAAAAGCUACCCUGGGGAUAACAGGCUUAUCUCCCCCAAGAGUCCACAUCGACGGGGAGGUUUGGCACCUCGAUGUCGGCUCGUCGCAUCCUGGGGCUGUAGUCGGUCCCAAGGGUUGGGCUGUUCGCCCAUUAAAGCGGCACGCGAGCUGGGUUCAGAACGUCGUGAGACAGUUCGGUCCCUAUCCGUCGCGGGCGUUGGAAAUUUGAGAGGAGCUGUCCUUAGUACGAGAGGACCGGGAUGGACUUACCGCUGGUGUACCAGUUGUCUCGCCAGAGGCAUCGCUGGGUAGCUAUGUAGGGAAGGGAUAAACGCUGAAAGCAUCUAAGUGUGAAGCCCACCUCAAGAUGAGAUUUCCCAUUUCUUAAAGAAAGUAAGAUCCCUGAGAGAUGAUCAGGUAGAUAGGUCAGGAGUGGAAGUACAGUGAUGUAUGGAGCGGACUGAUACUAAUCGAUCGAGGACUUAACCAAA